Molecule: ribosomal RNA, 253 nt
Filed under: uncultured bacterium
Lineage: Bacteria
Description: partial 16S ribosomal RNA
Rfam family: Bacterial small subunit ribosomal RNA
Source: RNAcentral
GACGAACCGUGCGAAUGUUGUUCGGAAUCACUGGGCUUAAAGGGCGCGUAGGCGGGCAGGCAAGUCAGGGGUGAAAUCCCACGGCUCAACCGUGGAAGUGCCUUUGAUACUGCCGGUCUUGAGGGAGGUAGGGGCGUGCGGAACUUCCGGUGGAGCGGUGAAAUGCGUAGAUAUCGGAAGGAACACCGGUGGCGAAAGCGGCGCGCUGGACCUCUUCUGACGCUGAGGCGCGAAAGCCAGGGGAGCAAACGGG